AUGUCAACUGGCGCCGCGUUUGCCGCCCCAUAUCGAACGGAGGCCUGGGAGUCCAGGAUCUGGAGCGCGCUAGCCUUGCUCUGCGGCUACGAUGGCUAUGGUUCUCGCGCACUGACCAUGAGCGCGCCUGGAAUGGCCUGGACCUACAAUUCUCUGCCGAGGAGCGAGCGCUCUUCUUCGCGUCCACCACGAUGA
This 195-nucleotide ribosomal RNA is filed under the name Triticum aestivum (bread wheat). RNAcentral's name for it is "partial small subunit ribosomal RNA". Lineage: Eukaryota; Viridiplantae; Streptophyta; Magnoliopsida; Poales; Poaceae. The record is from RNAcentral.